UACAGAGGUCUCAAGCGUUGUUCGGAUUCAUUGGGCGUAAAGGGUGCGUAGGUGGCGCUGUAAGUCGGGUGUGAAAUUUCGGAGCUUAACUCCGAAACUGCAUUCGAUACUGCGGUGCUUGAGGACUGGAGAGGAGACUGGAAUUCAUGGUGUAGCAGUGAAAUGCGUAGAGAUCAUGAGGAAGACCAGUGGCGAAGGCGGGUCUCUGGACAGUUCCUGACACUGAAGCACGAAGGCCAGGGGAGCAAACGGG
This 253-nucleotide ribosomal RNA is filed under the name uncultured bacterium. RNAcentral describes it as "partial 16S ribosomal RNA". It matches the Rfam family "Bacterial small subunit ribosomal RNA", at positions 524 to 776 of the family's 1533-position model. The record is from RNAcentral.